Long non-coding RNA from Nycticebus coucang (slow loris), 1057 nucleotides. RefSeq lists it as uncharacterized. The transcript is spliced from 3 exons. NCBI's taxonomy places the organism in Eukaryota, Metazoa, Chordata, Mammalia, Primates, Lorisidae. The record is from RefSeq and is a predicted model, not a curated record.
ACUGGCCAGUGGACACCUGUCUGUGGCCAAAUGUCCCUCGCCUCCCUUCAUGGUUCUGUCGUCAGGAACAGUCUCAGCCUAAAUGAAUAAGGUACUUGAAAUUCUAGGCUGGGCACAGUGACUCACACCUGUAAUCUCAGCACUCUGGGAGGCCAAGGCAGGUGGACUGCCUGAGAUCAGAGUUGGAGACCAGCCCGAGCAAAAGCGAGGACACAUCCAGGGGCAGCUGCAAGAAUUUCUCCCCAACCCCCUUGGAGGCUCUUCCAAGACACCAUUCCAGCCUGCCUGCUCCCCAGUGUGGCUACUGUCACCUCCUCGGGGAUGGAGGGAUGGAGGUGAUACACUGUGUCCCGUUUCUUAGCUGAUGCAGCGCUGUUUAUGGAGCAGGUUCCCGGAGAGACACACACGCUCUGAAGCCAGGUAGCCAGAAAAAUCCACAGAGGACACCUCUAUGCUUCCACUGUGGGUCUACUGGAGUAAAAGGCUGUGAACGCUCUCCAUGUGGGUCCCCCUGGGUCCCCUCUCGCUGCUGCGGGCAGGUCUCCGCACUCUGACAGCAGAGGGCAUCCGUGAGCCUAUUCCUGCCAGCCAGUCCCAGGGCUGCCAGAUGUCCUCCGGAAAAUCCAGGAUGGCUCAUGCCAUCACCACCGUCUUCCGAACAGAUGGUGGGAACAAAGCCGGCACAGGACAGAAGGAAAGCACAGCUUCAGGCCCCUGUGUAGAGGGCCACGGUCCAUCCACUGCGGGAGUCCCCUGCUGCCCUCCCCCAAGUGAGUACCCCAGCGCCUCCCAGUUACAAGUUGUCCCAGGAAGCAGACUGGACACAAGGACACACAUGUUCUUCUGCGCAACUGGACCUUCCUUUGCCCCUGACUUUAUGUACAAUGUAGAUUGCCGGGCUUCACAGGAAUGUCCCUUGCCCCCUCCUCCUGCCUUUUUCUGUUCUCUCUGUUGCCUUUAAAAUGCUCCAGGUCUGAGCCUCCCCUUUGGAAAAAUGGCCACAGCUUGCCUGGGGGCCAUGUUUUUCCCUGGCACAUCCUCAGCAUCUUGGCUUUAA